Phycodurus eques (leafy seadragon) is the source of this 280-nucleotide long non-coding RNA. RefSeq lists it as uncharacterized. The transcript has 3 exons. The record is from RefSeq and is a predicted model, not a curated record. NCBI's taxonomy places the organism in Eukaryota, Metazoa, Chordata, Actinopteri, Syngnathiformes, Syngnathidae.
UAGAAUCCCACCACCAUUUCAAAACAUCUGAGCCAAAAGCAUCUGUUUCCCUUUGAGUGGAAGAGCACAAUGGCAGUGGAGACGCUUCCAACAGACCAGUCUUCUAGCCAUGGAAACAGGAUGGAAUUUAAACUAACACACGUUUUUGAGGGUGGACAAAUCCCGAUUACCCGUCUGAAGGGUGUGCCAUAGAGAAGUUCCGUUUGCAGGGUCGCGGGUGUGCUGGAGCCUAUCCCAGCUAUCUUCGGGCGAAAGACCCUGAAAUGGACGCCAAUCGCAG